Molecule: transfer RNA, 72 nt
Filed under: Corallococcus macrosporus
Lineage: Bacteria; Pseudomonadati; Myxococcota; Myxococcia; Myxococcales; Myxococcaceae
Also listed under: 1 other name
Description: tRNA-Gly (GCC) (tRNA-Gly-GCC-2-1)
Rfam family: tRNA
About the family: Transfer RNA (tRNA) molecules are approximately 80 nucleotides in length.
Source: RNAcentral
GCGGUCGUGGCCGAGUGGUCAGGCCCCAGGUCGCCAUCCUGGUGAACGCGGGUUCGAAUCCCGCCGACCGCU